GGGGCCAUAGCUCAGUUGGGAGAGCGCUUGCAUGGCAUGCAAGAGGUCGUGGGUUCGACUCCCAUUGGCUCCA
This 73-nucleotide transfer RNA is filed under the name Phycisphaerae bacterium. Its description in RNAcentral is "tRNA-Ala". It matches the Rfam family "tRNA". Rfam says of the family: Transfer RNA (tRNA) molecules are approximately 80 nucleotides in length. Their secondary structure includes four short double-helical elements and three loops (D, anti-codon, and T loops). Lineage: Bacteria; Pseudomonadati; Planctomycetota; Phycisphaerae. RNAcentral also lists the same sequence under 3 other names. The record is from RNAcentral.